RNAcentral lists this non-coding RNA (28 nucleotides) under Rattus norvegicus (Norway rat). The record is from RNAcentral. Lineage: Eukaryota; Metazoa; Chordata; Mammalia; Rodentia; Muridae.
UAUUGAGAUGUGCCUGUGUACCCUGUGC